Molecule: small nuclear RNA, 62 nt
Filed under: Prolemur simus (greater bamboo lemur)
Lineage: Eukaryota; Metazoa; Chordata; Mammalia; Primates; Lemuridae
Description: U7 small nuclear RNA (ENSPSMG00000005638.1)
Rfam family: U7 small nuclear RNA
About the family: Animal histone pre-mRNAs are spliced by a different mechanism than nuclear pre-mRNAs and self-splicing introns. This processing involves the U7 snRNP, which contains only one RNA species: U7.
Source: Rfam by way of RNAcentral
AAGUAUUACAGCUCUUUUAGAAUUUGUCUGGCAGGUUUUCUGCUUUUUAUUGGAAAACCCCC